AGUUACCAGAAAUCUUGUUCCGUAUGAAUCUUCCAGAAAUCAAAAGAAGGAUAAUUAUCAAACACCUAGAAUUGUUUUUAGAGUAUGUCACCAAUCAUAGUGAUGAACUUUUCAUGGAAUCCCAUUACAUUCCCAAUCCAGACGUGUAGCUGACUUCUAUUCGUGGAUAGAAUUCGUGGAUAGAUAUGAGUGUAACACCUUGUGUUCUUCAAAACAGCAAUAUGUUAAA
Non-coding RNA from Penaeus vannamei (Pacific white shrimp), 229 nucleotides. Lineage: Eukaryota; Metazoa; Arthropoda; Malacostraca; Decapoda; Penaeidae. The record is from RefSeq and is a predicted model, not a curated record.